CAGCCGCCACGGUAAUACGUAGGGCGCAAGCGUUAUCCGGAAUUAUUGGGCGUAAAGAGCUCGUAGGCGGUUUGUCGCGUCUGCCGUGAAAGUCCGGGGCUCAACCCCGGAUCUGCGGUGGGUACGGGCAGACUAGAGUGAUGUAGGGGAGACUGGAAUUCCUGGUGUAGCGGUGAAAUGCGCAGAUAUCAGGAGGAACACCGAUGGCGAAGGCAGGUCUCUGGGCAUUAACUGACGCUGAGGAGCGAAAGCAUGGGGAGCGAACAGGAUUAGAUACCCGUGUAGUCCCUGUCUCUUAUAC
This 301-nucleotide ribosomal RNA is filed under the name uncultured bacterium. Its description in RNAcentral is "partial 16S ribosomal RNA". It matches the Rfam family "Bacterial small subunit ribosomal RNA", at positions 509 to 807 of the family's 1533-position model. The record is from RNAcentral.